GCAUUAAUGGGGUAGUGGUAACCUGGGUCGUUGCCAUCAUGCGUCGGUUUAUGGGGUUUCGACCCGCUGGGGGUUUGAUUCCCCCUUAAUGCA
Non-coding RNA from Termitomyces sp. Mi166#008, 93 nucleotides. The record is from the annotation of a GenBank genome assembly. Lineage: Eukaryota; Fungi; Basidiomycota; Agaricomycetes; Agaricales; Lyophyllaceae.